Molecule: ribosomal RNA, 479 nt
Filed under: uncultured bacterium
Lineage: Bacteria
Description: partial 16S ribosomal RNA
Rfam family: Bacterial small subunit ribosomal RNA
Source: RNAcentral
GACGAACGCUGGCGGCGUGCUUAACACAUGCAAGUCGAACGGUAAGGCCCUUCGGGGUACACGAGUGGCGAACGGGUGAGUAACACGUGGGUGAUCUGCCCUGCACUUCGGGAUAAGCCUGGGAAAAUGGGUCUAAUACCGGAUAGGACCACUGCCCGCAUGGGUGGUGGUGGAAAGCUUUUGCGGUGUGGGAUGGGCCCGCGGCCUAUCAGCUUGUUGGUGGGGUGAUGGCCUACCAAGGCGACGACGGGUAGCCGGCCUGACGAGGGUGACCGGCCACACUGGGACUGAGAUACGGCCCAGACUCCUACGGGAGGCAGCAGUGGGGAAUAUUGCACAAUGGGCGCAAGCCUGAUGCAGCGACGCCGCGUGAGGGAUGACGGCCUUCGGGCUGUAAACCUCUUUCAGCACCGACGAAGCGCAAGUGACGGUAGGUGCAGAAGAAGGACCGGCCAACUACGUGCCAGCCGCCGCGGUAA